GCCCGGCUAGCUCAAUCAGUAGAGCGUGAGACUCUUAUUACUUCGAGUCCGAAAGUAAAGACUUGUCAAUCUCAAGGCUGUGGGUUCGACCCCCACGUCGGGCU
Cercophora scortea is the source of this 104-nucleotide non-coding RNA. The record is from the annotation of a GenBank genome assembly. Lineage: Eukaryota; Fungi; Ascomycota; Sordariomycetes; Sordariales; Lasiosphaeriaceae.